AUCACCAUCAUCACCAUAAUCACCAUCGUCACCACCAUCAUCUCCAUCACCACCAUCAUCACCACCAUCAUUUCCAUCACAAUGAUCACCAUCAUCAUAAUCACAAAAGAGGAGAAGAUCCAAGAAAGGCUGAAGAAGCCUGCUGUCCACAUCUUUCCCUUUUGUCAGGGGGCCGGGAAAAGGGACAUCCUCACACAGAGCCCUGGUUCUCACACUUCAGGUGCUCCAGAAUCUUGCGGGGAGCAUGUCACACACACUCCUGGGCCCAGUGGUGGAGCUUCUGGUUCCACAAAACCUCAGCGUCAUCCACUGGCAGCCGAGAGAACUGCAGGCUCAGACAGAGGAGGAACAGACAACCCCCAAGGAGCUGGCCUGGGGCUUUUCAAACCUAGGAAGUGACAGCAAAUGUCACACGAAUAGAUGCAACACAAGAUCUACUCGCCCAGGAAGAGGCCGUCUGAGCCGCACGGUCUUUCAAAGCAACGUCGGCAACCUUCUGUGUUUUA
This is a non-coding RNA of Equus caballus (horse), 506 nucleotides long. The record is from RefSeq and is a predicted model, not a curated record. Lineage: Eukaryota; Metazoa; Chordata; Mammalia; Perissodactyla; Equidae.